UGGCAUCCACUGAUAGACCUGAAGUCAGUUGUCUUAGAUUCUGGUUUUGCAUUUGGAUGCAAGAAAGUUAUUAGCUUCUGAUUUGCAGAUUGGAUUAGAUUAUGGAACACACCC
This 114-nucleotide small nucleolar RNA is filed under the name Paramormyrops kingsleyae. Its description in RNAcentral is "Small nucleolar RNA SNORA31 (ENSPKIG00000013267.1)". The record is from RNAcentral. Lineage: Eukaryota; Metazoa; Chordata; Actinopteri; Osteoglossiformes; Mormyridae.